GACGAACGCUGGCGGCGUGCCUAAUACAUGCAAGUAGAACGCUGAAGGAGGAGCUUGCUUCUCUGGAUGAGUUGCGAACGGGUGAGUAACGCGUAGGUAACCUGCCUGGUAGCGGGGGAUAACUAUUGGAAACGGUAGCUAAUACCGCAUAAGAGUAGCUGUUGCAUGACAUUUGCUUGAAAGGUUCAAUUGCAUCACUACCAGAUGGACCUGCGUUGUAUUAGCUAGGUGUUGUGGUAACGGCUUACCAAGGCGACGAUACAUAGCCGACCUGAGAGGGGGAUCAGCCACACUGGGAGGGAGACCCGGCACAGACGCCUUGGGGAGGCAGCAGGAGGGAAUCGUCAGCAAUGGACGGAAGUCUGACCGAGAAACGCCGCGUGAGUGAAGAAGGUUGUCGCAUCGUAAAGCUCGGUUUUAAGAGAAGAACCAGUGUGAGCGUGGAAAGUUCACACUGUGACGGUAUCUUAUAAGAAAGGGACGGCUAACUACGUG
This 495-nucleotide ribosomal RNA is filed under the name uncultured bacterium. RNAcentral describes it as "partial 16S ribosomal RNA". It matches the Rfam family "Bacterial small subunit ribosomal RNA", at positions 28 to 507 of the family's 1533-position model. The record is from RNAcentral.